CACCCUGGGAACACAUGUGGGAACCAAAUCUAUAAUGCCAGGGAGAACUGGCGUUUGGAAGAGACCUGCUGCUCUUUGUCCAGAGUCUCCAUGUGGAUAUAACUGCAGAUAUUGGCCCUGCUUCAAAUCCUCUGGUUUCCUGGAGGAGAUGACUAAGAUGACUUUUGAGGAAAAGGUGCCAGGAGUAAAGUCUGACUUUUCCUUUGCCCUGCCAUGAAGGGAUGCCUCAGGUAGGGGCCCUGCUGUGCUCCAGGCUGCAGGAGAGAGUGUGGGUUGAAGAGAGACCUUCCAGAGGGACCAGAGUCCAUGAUUCCUGCAGCCACAGCUACCUCAAGAGGAGCCUGGGAUCCGCCUGGCCCUGGGAUACAGGCGUGGGGUGCGUGCAGGGUGCUCCGAGGGCUCUGUGUGUCCCAUUUCAUCAUGCUGCAAUU
Molecule: long non-coding RNA, 431 nt
Organism: Pipistrellus kuhlii (Kuhl's pipistrelle)
Lineage: Eukaryota; Metazoa; Chordata; Mammalia; Chiroptera; Vespertilionidae
Exons: 2
Source: RefSeq, a predicted model, not a curated record